AGGAUGAACGCUGGCGGUCUGCUUAACACAUGCAAGUCGAACGGAGUACCUCGGUACUUAGUGGCGGACGGGUGAGUAACGCGUGAGAAUCUGCCCUUAGGUCGGGGACAACCAUUGGAAACGAUGGCUAAAUACCGGAUAAGCCGAGAGGUAAAAGAUUAAUUGCCUAGGGAAGAGCUCGCGUCUGAUUAGCUAGUUGGUGAGGUGAAGGCUCACCAAGGCAUCGAUCAGUAGCUGGUCUGAGAGGAUGAUCAGCCACACUGGGACUGAGACACGGCCCAGACUCCUACGGGAGGCAGCAGUGGGAAUUUUCCGCAAUGGGCGAAAGCCUGACGGAGCAAGACCGCGUGAGGGAGGAAGGCUCGUUGGGUUGUAAACCUUCGUUUUCUUGGGGAAAGAACAAAAUGAACGGUACCCAAGGAAUCAGCAUCGGCUAACUCCGCGCCAGCAGCCGC
This 455-nucleotide ribosomal RNA is filed under the name uncultured bacterium. Its description in RNAcentral is "SSU rRNA". It matches the Rfam family "Bacterial small subunit ribosomal RNA", at positions 26 to 518 of the family's 1533-position model. The record is from RNAcentral.